GAGCAAUGAUGAAAAGGUUUUACUACUGACCUUUGUACUUAAGAAUGUGUCUACACUUGAUCUGAGGUCA
Artibeus jamaicensis (Jamaican fruit-eating bat) is the source of this 70-nucleotide small nucleolar RNA. RefSeq annotates it as small nucleolar RNA U2-30. The record is from RefSeq and is a predicted model, not a curated record. Lineage: Eukaryota; Metazoa; Chordata; Mammalia; Chiroptera; Phyllostomidae. The transcript has a single exon.